This 502-nucleotide ribosomal RNA is filed under the name uncultured marine eukaryote. RNAcentral's name for it is "bacterial SSU rRNA". It matches the Rfam family "Eukaryotic small subunit ribosomal RNA", at positions 612 to 1111 of the family's 1831-position model. The record is from RNAcentral.
GUUGCAGUUAAAAAGCUCGUAGUUGGAUUUCUGUGGGGGCGGAGCGGCCGGCCGCAACUUGCGGUUCGAGCUAGCGCUUCCCCUACAUCCUGCCGCGAACCGUGCUACCAUUAGUUUGGUGGCGCCGGGGAUCGGCUCGUUUACUUUGAGAAAAAUAGAGUGUUCAAAGCAGGCCACACGCCUUGAAUAAGUUAGCAUGGAAUAAUAAUAAAGGACUUCGGUUCUAUUUUGUUGGUGUUCGGGACUGAAGUAAUGAUUGAUAGGGACAGUUGGGGCGGUCAGUAUUCCAAAGCGAGAGGUGAAAUUCUUAGACCUUCGGAAGACUAACAGCUGCGAAAGCGUUCCGCAAGGAUGUUCCCUUUGAUCAAGAACGAAAGUUGGGGGAUCGAAGACGAUCAGAUACCGUCGUAGUCUCAACUAUAAACUAUACCAGCUAGGGAUCGGUCAACGUUAAAUUAUUCGACUUGAUCCGGCACCUUAUGAGAAAUCCAAAGCAUCUGGG